GGCUCCAUAGUGUAGUGGUUAGCAUGUCUGCUUUAUACGCAGAAGGUCCUAGGUUCACGCCCCAGGGGGAGCCA
Pteropus alecto (black flying fox) is the source of this 74-nucleotide non-coding RNA. The record is from Rfam. Lineage: Eukaryota; Metazoa; Chordata; Mammalia; Chiroptera; Pteropodidae.